Molecule: non-coding RNA, 187 nt
Organism: Oryza punctata
Lineage: Eukaryota; Viridiplantae; Streptophyta; Magnoliopsida; Poales; Poaceae
Source: Rfam
ACUUAGCAGUUUUACACUGUUCAUAUCCAACGUUUAACCGCUCGUCUUAUUUGAAAUUUUUUAUGAUUAGUAUUUUUAUUGUUAUUAAAUGAUAAAAUAUGAAUAGUACUUUAUGUGUGACUAAUUUUUUAUAAUUUUUUUCAAAUAAGAUGGACGGGCAAACGUUGGACACGGAUACCCACUUAUU